This is a long non-coding RNA of Cavia porcellus (domestic guinea pig), 6324 nucleotides long. RefSeq lists it as uncharacterized. NCBI's taxonomy places the organism in Eukaryota, Metazoa, Chordata, Mammalia, Rodentia, Caviidae. The record is from RefSeq and is a predicted model, not a curated record. The transcript has 2 exons.
CGGCUGCGGGGACGGGGCGGGGCGGGGCCCGGGCUGGGCGCGAGCGAGGGGCACCUGCAGACCCCAGCUCGCCGGGCGCCCCGCCUCGGAUUCACCGCUCGCUGCUCCAGCCGCCGGAAGCCGCUGCUCCUGCCUAGGAAAAAGAAGAGCCUCUGAAGGAGGGAUCGCUGCUUCACAUCCGAUCUGUCAGUGCCCUGUUAUGUUAUUUUAGUACAGAAGAGGAAGCUCCCAGCUCCGGACCACAGUGAAUGAACCCACGCAGGGCGAAAGGAGAAUUUAUUCCAGGCGGUAGCUGGUGGCGAGGGCAAGGUGCAAGGGGCGGAGCCAGCCAAGCCCGGGACAGCCGGCCGGAGCUCCUCCCCAGCACCUUUACAAAGGAGGGAGCCCGCAGGCCCGGAGGGUGGGCCCCCUGUUGGGGGGAGGGGAAGUCUGUCCUCCCGGUCUCGCUCCAUCGCCCUGGGAUAUGUGUCCUGCUCUCUUCCAUUGUUCAUUUCUUCUGCCAUGUUGACCUUGAUAUGGAAUGGAAGAUGCUUAUUUGAAUUUUGAAAUAAGAUCCCCACUCCCGUUUUAAUCUUCCCACUACCGGAAACAGCUGAGAUGGUGGUGGCUUUUUUUUCCUCUCCAUAUAAAUCAUAUCAGCCGAUGAGUUAAGUUAUAAUAAGAAGAAACACUAGUAUUUUAAAAAUAUUUUCAGAUAACUAGAAAAAUUACCCCAAACUUAGAAAUAAGAAGAAGGAGCAUGACUUUCAGGGUCGCAGUGAAACAUUGUUUAACAGGUCCACUCAGCGGUGAGUUAAUUCUCUAGAAAGCAUGCUUGUGUUUGUCUGGGCUGCUUAUUAUUGAUUCUGACACAGACGUGGCAGCAUUACACGUUAAACUUGCACAUUUUACUCAGUCUAGCCAACAGAAAACAUGUCACCGUUUAAGAUUUUCUUGCACUGUAGGGUGUUAACCAAUUUUGCAUCUCACUCAACUAACAUUCUUUCUGAUGUCUGUAAAUACUGAAAUCCCCAAGUGUUCUUCCAACCAUCUAAACCAUGUUUGCAGUUUCCUCUCAUUAGUAAAUGAAUAGAUCUCUGACGUUUGUAUGUAUUCAUAUGAGAGUCUUGCUUUUAACUUUUAAAAGUUAUACUUUGAAAAACCAAAAUUGAAUUUUCAAAAAAAAUUGAUUUUGUUAAAGUUCUUUACAACCAUAAAGAUAAAAGCCUGACCUCAUCUUGGACUUGAAUUCUGUGGAGCAAAUAAGCUUGAAAAUACUAAUCCCCUGAAUGUUUAUGUAUAAUAUUGUAUGUAUAUGUUCUUAAGCCUCCUGUCUCCACGAGCUAGUUUUGAGAAUGACAGACCCUCUUCAUUGUAUUUAUCACAAAUUGAGGUCUGUUCUUUCUGUUUAUAAAGACUUACAAGGCAAAUCUAUAUUCAGUCUGCUUGGUACCAUAGAUUCAAUGCUUGUCAGUUUACAGAAAGCCCUUCUACUCAUUGGCUAUGGUACUGUCCUCAAACAUUCCAAUGCAGAGGCAGAUCAUACUUCUUUUCUGUAAAAUGACCUAUCCCAGUGACUCAUUUGAAAUGGAAAAGUACAUUUCUUUCAACUUUGAAACAGGACUCAUUCGAGUAUAUGGAAUAAUGUGGCCUUUUUGGGAAAAAAAAAUGAAAUACUGAAUGUACUUAAUAACUGUAAGGAUUCAAUAACAUUCAUAGAAAAAAUUCUCAGCAACUCAUGAAUAGAAAGAACUAAAAUUAAGUUUCUGGAACUAGUCGUAUACAAUGAAAACGAUUGACAACAACAUGUUAUGGCUAAAACCCCAAAAUAUUCUACAAUAAAGCUCUGUCAUUUAGUAAUUUGUAGGAAAUCAUUUUAAUUUUUGUUGCUCAACCAAUUCUUAAACUUUUUUCAUAUUAAAUCAAGUUUUUAAAUCGCCUUUACAAAUAACUUGUCAAGUGGAUUUUUAAAAUUUUUUCGACUAUUCAAUUUGGAAUAAGACUAUAUUGUUGAACAUCAUAAAACAUACAGUUUUUUGGAAGCCCUUGACUUAACUAAAUGGAGCUUAAUAAGAGUUUUUUUAAAAAGCAGAAAAAUUAUUAUGUGAAUUUGUGAAGAGUUAAAAAAGAAAGAUGGCCAAGAAAAAAAAAUAGGUUAAAUGAACAAAAACAAUUUUUUGAAAGCAAACAUACUAUAAAUUCACAAUGCAUGUUGGGCAGCAAAGAAAAGUAUGCCAUCUAUUUUUAACUAAUGUUCCCCAAAUUCAUCAAAGACCAACAUAAUAUUUUGCUUAAAUAUAUCAUUUAACACAACGUGUAACUAAGAAUUUUGAGAAAACAGUUCUUGAGUAUACUAGAAAAAAAAAUAAUUGUUUAUUGAACAAAUGAUUGAAAGAAAAAAGUAAUGUUACAUGUUUAUCACUGUCUCAUUGUCAUGAAGAAGACACACAGGCCACAUUUCAAAGUUUUUAGUAUAAAUACAUAUUGUAUAAGUGUGCAAAAUAUUUAAUGCAUAUUAGAUGUACAUCUCUAUUUCCUGCAAGUAAGAUGUUAGAUGGAGAUGCUAGAUUUGAAUACUGUUAAUUCAAUUACAUUUUAAAAAUUUGAAUGUUUAGGGGCUGGGGAUUUAGCUCAGCGGCAUAAGUACCUGCCUUGCAAGCAGGCGGUCGUGAGUUCGAUCCCUGGUACCAAUAAAAAUGAAAAAGACAAAAAAAAAAAAAUUUGAAUGUUUUACUUUUCCUAAUGUUGCUCAUAAAACCAGCAUCUGAAUUUUAGAUUUAAUACUGAUACAGUCCUUAUUAUAACUGGAAAACUUUUAUUCUAAUGUGUUGAUUUAGCUCUAUGCAAAAUGUAGAACAGUAGAUCAGUGGUUGAGAAAAGAAUCUGCAAACUUGCUGAGAUUCCAGACUAACCUGUUACUGUUGUUGUCAACUUAAACAAUGACUCUGCCUCAAUAUUCUUGUAAAAUGGAGGUGAUAAUUACCUAUCUCAUAGAUUCUUACAAAGAUUAAAUGACCCUCCUAGAAACAAAACAGAAACAGUCAAUAACUAGUAGACUCUUAUUCUCAUUAGUAUUAUUAGUAGUAUUAUAACAAAAAUGAAGUUUGGAAGAUUGUAAAUAAAAGUACUGUGCUGACUGAGUACAUAGGCCAUAUUAUAUUUUCUUUUUGUUUCCUAUGAUGGUACAGUGUUUAUAGAGUCUUUUUGCCCCUCAUAUCCAUAAAAUUUAAAACUUUACGAAACGUGAAUGAACUGCUCUGGAUGGAAUGAGCUUAAUCCAGAGUGGUUUUGUGCUCACUUUAUGGCUCUUCCAUUAAAAAUGUUUGCAUAUCCCUGUAGGAACAGACAAUUCUGAGAAAUCACUUCCUGCAAGAUGUUGGGAUAAGGAGCCAGACCCUUCACAAUGACCGGAAACUGACAGAGGCCUGCUGCAAUGGUCUGCUGGACACAGUGACUUGUAGCUUCCUGCCAGUGCCCUUGGGAAUGGCCAGCCCUCCCUGAGAAGGAGAGGACACUUGCCUGAAAUGAUAAUUUUCUAUGGAAAAACAAACAUACAAAAACCCCUCUUCUUUGACUCUCUCUUCCCUAAUCCUCUUUUACUAGCCCCAGUAACUGCCACCAUCACAAAAGGGGCCUCAUUAUCUGACUGGUCAAUGUUUUAGGUGCUGAAGAGUCAAAAGUGCCCAAGGAAGAAAAUCUUUGAUGAGAAAAGUAUAUACUAGUGACAGGCUAUAUGUGGUAUUUGUCUCCCUUCACAUAUGCCUCCUUAGUUAAUGUUAAUAUAGAAUCCACCUUUGUCUGACAACAGCUGUUUAAUUCAUCUAUAGUAAAAUGCAGACAUGAUGUAAAGUGAAUACUCAGUGGAAUUUAAGUGUUUGCAAAAGAUUCAAGAUUUUAUGAAAUCAGUGGAAGUCACAUUCAAAAACAGCAACAAGUGAGAUAUUGAUAGUAGCAACCAAAGAAUAAAAUAUUUGACAAGGACGAUAAUGUUAUCAGAGAACUAAAACUGAUCUUUGGAAAAAUUUAUGAGAGCCUUAAUUUUGCAAAUGUUACAUUUUAAUAAUCAUGCCAUGAGUCUCAAAUGUGAGGUGAAGGUUAUUACUUGGAGGUAUAACAUUUUUCUUAAAAAUUAUAUAUAAUUGAAAUGGACAAAAUUUAUUCAUUGCUGUUUCUAAGAAUUAGCUCACUAUUUCAUUUAUAUCUAAUAUGUAAAAUAAGACUAUUUUUACAGUUUGUUUAGUGUUUUCCAGGGCUGUCAGCCUGUGCUGGCCUCAUCCUGGUGAUAACUGAGCUUAUUCCCAACCUUGGUGCCCACCUGCAGUUAUUAUAAGUGAGCUUUAUCCUGCCCAGGACCUUUUUAGGGAACACCAGGUUUAACACACGCAAAUAUGUUUCUUGAGAAGAACUUUCCAGAUCACUCUUUCUGAAUUAGUAUGCCCUGUCACUCUUUUCUGCUUUGUUUUCUUCAUUGGACCUAUCUCUGUCUUAUAUGUAAUACAUGUUCAGCUAUCUGUUUUAUAAUUGCUGCUCCCAAUGGGAAAAGUACUGCAGGGUCUUACCAAUUACUGUAUUCUCAGAAUUCAAAAAUAUAUCUAUCAUGGUAGCUACUUAAUGAAUGUUUACAGAAUAAAAUUAAGAAAUUAAUAUUUAGUUUCACAUUUUUAAGAUAAAGCUCCACAUAUCCUUUACUAUUUUUUUUCCUAUAACAAUGGAGUGCUAGCUUCUGAUAUUCAUGUCAAAUGGAAUUUUCCAAGACAAGGUGUCUUCAGUAAUAAGACUUUCCUGCAUCAGACAUUCCUUUCCUUGCUUUGCAGGGAUAACAUAUUUCAUACUAUUAUUCCAACUCAGCUGAUAGCGUGGGCUUUCCAGAACACUGAUUCUGUGGUGUGGUCUCAGCCCAGCCAGGAGAACAUUAGGAAAGAUGGCACAGUAGUGCGGGUUAUGAGAGCGAGUUUAUGGGUUUGGUAUCUCAGGUGUCAGUAUGGCACCUGUUAGAAUACAAAUUUCCUUAAGAAAAGCACAUUCCAUUUUUAACACCUGUUAGAGAUUGCAUUUACAUGUUCCACAAAGGCCUCAUGUAGUCAUAGGCAGGGCUUUUCCUAGGUGGCUGAAUCUAAAGUGUGUGAUGCUAUGAUUAAAGUGAUGCUGUGAUCAAAGGUAUGUGAUUCCUAAAUUCAUCCACUGAUCAAUUUGGCAUAAUUCUGGGAGUAGAUAAUGGAAAGCUCCUCCCUGGAUGAGAAUUAGUAGCCUGGAUAAAAUAUAAGGCACAGAACGAAGGCUCUUGUGUUCCCUUGUUGCUCAUGGGUUCACUACUUCCCUGCUUGUCACUUUCUUCUGCCUUCUGCCUGUCAUGAAUUGUUUCUUCCCUGCCAUGCCGCCUCGCCUUGGAGUCAGCCAACUGUGAACUGAAGUCUCUACCAACCUUGACAGAAAUAAACCUUUGCUCUUUUAACUUUGAAUAUUGAGUAUCUGGGCUCAGCAACAAGAGGGGUAUUUUGUCUCAGCAAUGAGAAAAGUGACUAGACAACACAUUAGCUUGAUGUAAUUUUCAAAUGCACAAAAUGUAUCUCUGCAGUUCAUGUGGUUUUAGGAAACACAGGAGCUACCUGGCCUAAUACAUUUUUCUAAUCCUUAAACUUCCAUGAUAAUCUCCGAUUGCUGCUUGAAGCCUUAAGAUCCAGAAAUCUGUAGCCCACAAAGCUCCUUUAUUGGCUCCUCCAGUUCCUGAGAAGAUUCCAGUCAAGUAUUCCUCUGCGUUUUGUUACUUAUACCAGUAGCCAAAUGACUAUCAGAAUUAUUCCAGUCCAUUUUCUCAUCUCCAAGUCAAAUAUGCCCAGUUCCUUCACUAGAUUCCCAAAUGACAUGACGUAGCUUUCCUUCUGCAUCUUGUGUAAUACUGGAAAAAGUACAGUCCUACUAUCCUAAUGUGCCACUCCUACCCUAGAGUUAUUACUCCAGGUGUCAUCUGGUCAGUGAAGAAUGAAAUGAGCUCUGUGCCUCCUCCUGCUCCAUAAAAUUAUGCUCUUCCACAUGGCCCAAGAACAUUGCUUGGUGUGCAUAGAUACAUUAUACUGCAGACCCAGCUGAUUGCGGUCAACUGACACACUGGAGCCACUCCUGAGAGCUGAGUUUGUUGAAUGUAGUACUGUACCACCUUUGUAUAAUUCCAGUAAAAUUCUAUACUAUUUAAUUUGACAUUUGGUACUUGUAUAUUCAGGCUUUCAGAUCUUUGAGAAUAUAUGUUUUAACAGCUAUAUUUUUCCCUUCCAGUUUGAUGUCAUCACUGCUCUGUGAAUACGGUCCUUCUGAAAAGUUAUAGCAUAAAAUAAACACACUUUUAACCAA